UCCCUCCUGUUGUUUUCUUCCAGGGCUAAUGCUACACUUGUGAUUGUGAGUGUGCAGACCAGAAGCUGAGUGUGAAAACAAAUAAUGUUUGAGAAAGGAGGAGUGAUUCAGAACAGAAAACUUGCAUGCUAUGGUUAGCUGGUUCCCAUCAUUCGAGAAUCUGUUUUCUCAUCGUGUGAAACUUGUUCAGCAUCAGGAUAAAGGAUAACGACUCUAUGGAUAUACAGAAUUCUUCACCAUGGUAAAACUCGCCAACCCGCUGUAUACAGAGUGGAUUUUGGAGGCAAUCAAAAAGGUAAAGAAGCAAAAACAGCGUCCUUCAGAGGAGAGGAUAUGCAAUGCAGUGUCAUCUUCGCACGGUUUGGACCGCAAAACUGUUCUGGAACAGUUAGAGUUGAGUGUUAAAGAUGGAACUAUUUUAAAAGUCUCUAACAAGGGUCUCAACUCCUACAAGGAUCCUGAUAAUCCUGGGAGAAUAGCACUUCCGAAGCCUCGGAACCAUGGCAAGUUGGAUGGUAAACCAAAUGUGGACUGGAAUAAACUUAUUAAACGGGCAAUUGAGGGCUUGGCUGAGUCUAGUGGCUCAUCCUUGAAGAACAUCGAGCGCUUCCUGAAAGGUCAGAAAGAUGUGUCUGCAUUGUUUGGAGGUAGCGCUGCCUCCGUUUUUCACCAGCAAUUACGAUUAGCUGUCAAACGUGCUGUUGGCCAUGGUAGACUUCUUAAAGAUGGACCUCUGUACCAACUCAACACUAAAGCAACCACUAAUGCUGAUGUGAAGGAGAGUUUUGAGUCUCUUUCCUGUCUCCCACCAGUGUGUCUCCUUCCCCACGAAAAGGAUAAGGUAAGGCCCAGUUUACAUGGGCAUUUUCUUGUGAUUGAUGAGAUGUGUCAAUACAGAGUUCAAUUUGAGGUCAAUGAUUUGUUUAACCUGCUUCUU
Pterocles gutturalis (yellow-throated sandgrouse) is the source of this 937-nucleotide RNA transcript. It is a transcript of the gene named histone acetyltransferase KAT6A pseudogene, with no coding region annotated. NCBI's taxonomy places the organism in Eukaryota, Metazoa, Chordata, Aves, Pterocliformes, Pteroclidae. The transcript is spliced from 2 exons. The record is from RefSeq and is a predicted model, not a curated record.